Long non-coding RNA from Anas platyrhynchos (mallard), 1021 nucleotides. RefSeq lists it as uncharacterized. NCBI's taxonomy places the organism in Eukaryota, Metazoa, Chordata, Aves, Anseriformes, Anatidae. The record is from RefSeq and is a predicted model, not a curated record.
AAACAGACUUAGUCCCUUGCAAAUAGUCUUGCUCCGAUACCAGCAGCACUCUAUAAAUCACUGCACCCAUUCCUGCAUGCAUGCUUUGAAGCACCAUGAGAAUCAGCCCAGAGGAUUCUGGGGCACAUCUAAGAAGGUCAGAUGGAAAAUAAGCAAUCGUGGAGACACAGCAGGGAGUAGGGGUACGCAGCACUGGACAAGAGGAGAGGUGGAAAAGAAGGCACCUUUUGUACCAAGAAAAGCUAGCUAUUCAUUUCUUUAUCUUUCAUGAUCCCAUUAACCCGUUCAUGGCAUCACCUUUUCUAAAUGUCUGGAGGUUAAGCCAGAUUUUGCCUUAAACUCCACUCUACGAAAUAAGUGUCACCAGACUGUUCCUCUCCCCUCGCAACCGCCUGAACUCUGCCAAGAGGGGAGACUGACAGCCCUUAUAUAAAAACAAGAGUGAAUCCCUGUUUCUGGGAAAGUAAUAGAAGACAUCCCUUGAAUUUGAAUGCUUGUUGUUUUGAGAAAAAGGCCAAGGGGCCAUGCCUGCUGCUUCAGGAGACAGAGGAAAUGACAAGAACUCCAAGGAUAUGGCCUCUCCUAGCAUGCCUGAUUGACAGAUCUGUUUUCUGCAUUCAAUACACUGUAAAAACAUUGUAGCAGACUUGGGACUUAUUCUUACAGAGAAAAAUAAUUAUGAACAGCAUACUAUUUGUGUGGAUUUUAAAAGGCACAACUGGGACCCUAUUAGCUUCGCUAGACUCUCUAUCUUUACAGAAAUGUUCAGUAAUUAAAUCUUAAAAACAGAGAUCAGAGCAAACACAGUCAAAAAUCUAAACACAAUCUGAAAUGCUGAUUUGAGUUGGUCAAGUAAUUUUCUAAAUCCAUGGCAACUUCAUUAGUUUGUUUUGACUGGAGAAAAACAGUGGGAAAACAUUCUACUUCUUUUAAAAACAACAUACUGUACUCCUACUUUGAAAAAAAAGUGUCAUUGCUAAAUUAAUUUGGAUUUGGAAAAUAAAGGCUAAAGUACCAAAAA